RNAcentral lists this ribosomal RNA (552 nucleotides) under Arthrobacter sp. PLB063. Its description in RNAcentral is "bacterial SSU rRNA". It matches the Rfam family "Bacterial small subunit ribosomal RNA", at positions 201 to 768 of the family's 1533-position model. Lineage: Bacteria; Bacillati; Actinomycetota; Actinomycetes; Micrococcales; Micrococcaceae. The record is from RNAcentral.
GGAAAGCUUUUGUGGUUUUGGAUGGACUCGCGGCCUAUCAGCUUGUUGGUGAGGUAAUGGCUUACCAAGGCGACGACGGGUAGCCGGCCUGAGAGGGUGACCGGCCACACUGGGACUGAGACACGGCCCAGACUCCUACGGGAGGCAGCAGUGGGGAAUAUUGCACAAUGGGCGCAAGCCUGAUGCAGCGACGCCGCGUGAGGGAUGACGGCCUUCGGGUUGUAAACCUCUUUCAGUAGGGAAGAAGCGUAAGUGACGGUACCUGCAGAAGAAGCGCCGGCUAACUACGUGCCAGCAGCCGCGGUAAUACGUAGGGCGCAAGCGUUAUCCGGAAUUAUUGGGCGUAAAGAGCUCGUAGGCGGUUUGUCGCGUCUGCCGUGAAAGUCCGGGGCUCAACUCCGGAUCUGCGGUGGGUACGGGCAGACUAGAGUGAUGUAGGGGAGACUGGAAUUCCUGGUGUAGCGGUGAAAUGCGCAGAUAUCAGGAGGAACACCGAUGGCGAAGGCAGGUCUCUGGGCAUUAACUGACGCUGAGGAGCGAAAGCAUGGGGAU